CAAUCCAGGUUACCAUGUGAAGCAGGUCUGCAGUGAGCAUACAGGCACAGUGUGUGCCCCCUGUCCCCCACAGACCUAUACCGCCCAUGCGAAUGGCCUGAGCAAGUGUCUGCCCUGCGGAGUCUGUGAUCCAGGACAAACCUGGUACCACAUGUGCAGGUGGUGGGUAGCUUCUGGCAAGUGAAGCUGUGCAGAAUCGGACCCAGGUACAUUGGGACGGCUGGAGGAUGGGUGCUUCCCCAAAUCCCUCGCUGGUGCCCCCAUGGCCUUGUCUCUGACGGCAGACAUGGGCCUGCUGACCUGGCAGGAGUGCUCCAGCUGGAAGGACACUGUGUGCAGAUGCAUCUCAGGUUACUUCUGUGAGAACCAGGAUGGGGGCGCCUGUUCCACAUGCUUGCCUCACGCCGCCUGCCCUCCAGGACAGAGGGUACAGAAGAGAGGUACUUACAGCCAUGACACUGUAUGUGCUGACUGCCUGACAGGAACCUUCUCACUUGGCGGGACUCAGGAGGAAUGCCUGCCCUGGACCAAGUGCAGUACCUUUCAACGGGAAGUAAAACAUGGGACCAGCAGCACAGACACCACCUGCUCCUUCCAGACCUUCUACAUCGUCGUUG
This 617-nucleotide long non-coding RNA is filed under the name Rattus norvegicus (Norway rat). Its description in RNAcentral is "long non-coding RNA NONRATT023931". Lineage: Eukaryota; Metazoa; Chordata; Mammalia; Rodentia; Muridae. The record is from RNAcentral.